Molecule: long non-coding RNA, 323 nt
Organism: Raphanus sativus (radish)
Lineage: Eukaryota; Viridiplantae; Streptophyta; Magnoliopsida; Brassicales; Brassicaceae
Exons: 2
Source: RefSeq, a predicted model, not a curated record
UAAGAGCGUAAUGUUCAAAAUCUUUUCGACUUCUCGGCCGCUUCUUUGUUGAGAGUUCGCUGCAUAUAGUCUGAGAAGUGAAGGGUUUAUCUUCUGUUGAUUCAGCAUGAGGGCUAAGUGGAAGAAGAAGCGUAUGAGGAGAUUGAAGAGGAAGAGACGAAAGAUGAGACAGCGAUCUAAGUAGCGUUUUCGAACAGACCAUGUUUCUGUGUUUCUUUGUUUUUAAUUUUAACCAAACUCUGUUCUUGAGUUUCGGUUUGAAUGUUUCGUUUGGACCAAAUUAGUACAACGUUAUGUUUCUAUUUAAGCGUUUUGUUUAUUCA